GAGGGAGGGCUAAGGCGCCUGGGCGCUCAGCGAGCCGGCUGAGGGGGCUGUGGCGGCCGCGGCGGGCGACAUGGACAACGCGGGGAAGGAGCGUGAGGCAGUACAGCUGAUGGCGGAGGCCGAGAAGCGAGUCAAGGCCUCCCACUCCUUCCUCCGAGGGCUGUUUGGAGGAAACACAAGAAUAGAAGAGGCUUGUGAAAUGUAUACCAGAGCUGCAAAUAUGUUCAAGAUGGCUAAAAAUUGGAGUGCUGCAGGAAAUGCAUUUUGUCAGGCAGCCAAGCUCCACAUGCAGCUUCAGAGCAAACAUGACUCCGCUACCAGCUUUGUGGAUGCUGGAAAUGCUUACAAAAAGGCAGAUCCCCAAGGGAAGGUUUACAAUUGCAGCCAAGCACCACAUUACUAUUGCAGAGAUCUAUGAGACUGAACUUGUAGACAUUGAGAAGGCUAUUGCACAUUAUGAACAAUCUGCUGAUUAUUACAAAGGAGAAGAAUCCAACAGCUCAGCAAACAAGUGUCUGCUGAAGGUGGCAGCAUAUGCUGCCCAGCUUGAGCAGUACCAGAAAGCCAUUGAGAUCUAUGAGCAGGUUGGGGCAAACACAAUGGAUAAUCCUUUGUUGAAAUACAGUGCAAAGGAUUACUUCUUCAAAGCUGCCCUCUGCCACUUCAUAGUAGACGAGUUGAAUGCCAAGCUUGCUCUUGAGAAAUAUGAGGAAAUGUUUCCAGCAUUUACUGAUUCAAGAGAAUGUAAAUUAUUGAAAAAACUCCUAGAAGCUCAUGAAGAA
Molecule: small RNA, 782 nt
Filed under: Pongo abelii (Sumatran orangutan)
Lineage: Eukaryota; Metazoa; Chordata; Mammalia; Primates; Hominidae
Description: processed transcript
Source: RNAcentral